GCACGAAAAAAAACAGCAAAAAUAAUCCCCGAGAGAAAGUCCAAUCGCGUCCCGAAAACCCUAGCCGCCGCUGGCCUCCCCCUACUCGUGCCGCAGACGCACACCAUCCUCUUCUCCUCCCUCCCGUCAGGGACCUGCCUCCACUCCACGAGGCAGAUCGAUCGAGACCCAUGGCCGGGGUCGCUACCGUGCCUCGCCGCGCAGUGCAUCGGGUAUCCACCUCCCAUCCCCCAUCUUCCUCCUUCAAAUUUUGGCAGCAACGACCGUGAGUGUGGCUGCUCCUCGUUCGUGCUCCGGCAGACGUCCCCUACCCACCCCCCUCCGCUGACGGUGGCCAGAACGAGGUGGGUUCAACCAGCAGAGCCCCGGGUGAGAUCGCGUGUGAGUGGACGGAGCAGGCGCUCGUGGUCGUGGUGAACCAUGGGCGCAGUCGGAGCAGAGAGUCGGGGCGUAGGAGAUGAGGAGAACGGCGUAGGCUUCAUGAUGGAAGGAGAUACGGCAGCGGACAAGGAGGAGGUCGGGGGUUACACGAAGGUACAGGUGGAUGUCAGCAACCUGCCCCCUACGACGUCGAUGGUGAGCACCCAAUAUGUACUUUGACGUUAGAAGGGAUACUUGCCCCUUUUGGCGGAUGAUGUUUUUACAAGCAUGCUACACUGAUGGGCAUUUGGAGGAGCCGGCAACGGUGGCAGUGCUUCAUUUUCAUGCCGACAAUGGAAGUAUGGACCAACAAGAAAUAUCGAGUUGAAAAUUCCGUUCGAACAUGCAGAUUGGCAUACUUGCUGAGAAGGUUACAACUGUAGAAGGAAGCAGUUGAGAAGAGAAGCACUUAGGGGAUGAUGUCGAUCUUGCACAUUCAGCUUUAUGCUGCUGAAUACUGUCGUAGGAAGGAAUCAGUGCUGAGGUGAUCAACAUUCGAUCAGUUAGGACACUGGAUAGAGCUGCGAUAAAAGCAUAUGUUACGAAAAUAAAUAGGUUGGUGAUUCUUUAAGAAGGCUCCCCCCAACAUCGUGUUGGUGCUGAGAUAUGGUUUUCUCUCUCUCUCUCUCUCCACACACAUCCCAACCCUCUUCCAAUUAUUCAUUCGAAUUAUUGUACAGAAUCUACAAUUAUAAGAAAGAAGAAUUUGAUAAAUUAGAGAGAGAUAUGCUUUCAUAAAUUUCUCACCCCUGAAGGUUACAAAUUCAAGUGCUGGGUUCGAAGGAUGAAGCAAAUCCCAAGUCACAUGUUAAUAUAUCUUGAUGCACAUUUGUAUUUACUUUUGCAUAUUGUUUACUUUAUCCUCGCUGCAUCGGCCUUGCAUAUGGCCAUUGGGUACUGAUCCCCUCCAUGUCUUUGGUGAGCCCCCAUAGCUCUAGGUCUUUUGAUUUUGUUUAGUUUGUUAGAUUUAUGAAGAGCUCUUCUAUUCCAAAUUGAGAAACCUAUGCUUCUUUCCUAUGUUGGUCCAAAAGGCCAUUUGUUUGAUAGCAGUUUGAUAUCAGCAAAGUUUUUAGCCAAAACUGCUUUUGAUUCGGUUCAGUUUGUGUUGUAGAUAUUUGAUCGGUAAUUUUGUAUCUUUACGUGCCCAGGUACAUUCUGAAGGAGAAGAUUGCUGGUCGAGAAGGCCAUUUAUCUAAUAUUAGUUUAUUGAAGAAAUUGCCCAUGAUGUAUUUUCAGUACAUUAGGAUUUUUUGUAGUCGCAUGGUUCUGAUAGGAAGAUACCGUUGCUACCAGGUCAACAAUCUCCCCUUCAAUAAUAUUUGAUUUACAUUUUGUAUGCCAUUCAUCGAAUCAAUGUGGAUUACAAUGACCACUCAUAUGUUUUGAUUGCAGUACUUCUCUAUGCUAUUUCACUAUUUUGGACUCAUGUUCUUUUCAUUGUGAUGUAGUAAUAAGUGAAAUAAAUUGAGUCUAAUUCUUUGUGUGGACAUAGGCGUUUCAAAGAAAUAUAUGGCUUGUUUUAUUUUUGGCCCUUUCUUCCCGGCCACUGGAUAUGCACUUAAGUUCCCCAACCAGAAGCAUCUCCCUGUCCAUGUAACCAAUAAUAUUUUGGAAGUAGAAUGUACUCAGGAUCAUAAUGGAAAAUUUUGUUUUUCUGAAAACCAUGUCCCACUGUACAUGGCACGAGAGUUUGAGCAGAAACCUGGGGUUAGCUCCUUGCCUACUCCAGGAAUUGUGCACUCGAACUAUUUGAGCAGGGUUUUUUCUGUCUUUUGGAUAGCAUCUUGCAGCCAACAUUUCUGAACUCCAGCAUUGGUAUCAUUAAGCAUUUUAGUUCUACCCCAUAUGGAUAUUAGUUAACUUUAUGUUCUUAUGACGUAAGUACAUGCGAAUUGUUCCGUUCCUUCUGGAAUCAAAUAUUUUUGGAUGUCCGAAAGCACUUCUGGUGGAUCAGAAAAUUGUGUUUUUCUCAGCAUCUUAGUUUUUCUCUAUGGAAGUAUUUAAAACAGUCAUCAUUCUUUCAAGAAUGUUACCAAUACAAGACUGUUUUUGUGUUCCGAAUUAUGCGUAAAUGCCCAAGGGCAGUGGACCAAAGUCAACAACAUAAGUUGUUUGGCAAAUGUGUCUUAGUUCCCUUUCAGACUCUUCUAUAACAUCAUCUCUUUUAAAAAAGAUCUUUUCUAUAUCAGUGCACUGUAAAUAUAGAAAUGUUGGUUUAAUCGAGUGUGUGAUUGUCGGUUACCAUGAAGGAAAUCACUGUAAGAUUUGAGAGAUGCAAGGCUAACGUAAAAGCAGUAAGAGUCUUUGAGAUGCCAAAACUUCUCUCAUACAUGUAUUUUGUGUACAUGUAAAUCUUGAUCUUCCAGCAACAUUGACAGCAGGAUAAUUCUCUUUCUUUUAGUUGACCACAACAUGUGAUGAGGGCCCAUUUGGAAUGCAACUAAUGUCAAGUGCACCAUCAUCUUAAGCAUUAUUUACUCAUGUUGUCACUGAUUGCAUAUACAAUACCAUCAGAAGCAUCCAUUAAAAAUGUGUCCUUAGAAGCAUCCAUUCAAAAAAGUGCUGAAGAACUAUAGAAGGCUGGGUGUUGGCUGAUGUUGUUUCGGUUACUAUUCCUUGUGAUUCUAAGUUAUUUGCAACAUAGUAAAUACUUAGUAUACCAGUCAUAUUUUCUUGUCAACAUGCACCUGAGGCUUAUCCGGUAUUAUUGCAAUCUGGUAGAACUGUGUUACUACUAAGAAUUGAAUAUUUUUAGUUGGAAUACUAUUUUAAUGAUCAAUCACAAUGUUGGACGCGACCACCUACUUAUUCCCGAGACUAAGUCUUUGGUGGCUUAAGCACAAUAUGCCCGGCAUAUGUUCUACAUCUGCGGCAUGUAAUGAUCCUACUGGCAUUUCAAGAGGUCUUGUAAAUACAACACUCUUCCAAAGUAUUUCCAAGUCUGGACGGUUAUUGAGCCUGCAUUGAUGAAAUAGUUGACAAAGAAGGAACUGAAAUGAGGUUACUGAGCCUGCAUUGAAGAAUUUUGGUUGAUGAGCUGAUAUCUGACCAAAAACUCAAGAACUAGAAGCAAGCCUGACAUCCUUUUUCUAUAAUCGGUAAAUCUGAACCUGCUCAGACCAUGGGGAGGAUUUCUCUGGUGGACUAUCGCUGGCAAGGUUGGCAUGGGAGUAGGCCCGUACCAUGGGUUCGUGUGGCUGGAGGACCGUGGCCAGUGCUGCGAUUGCCUGGUGUCCAUGUGGGGCAUAGCUCGGCAUUAGGUGAUAUCCUUCUAUGAUAACCUAGCUGUACACAAUUUCUUCAAAGAAAAUUAAGAUUGAUAUCAAAGUUGAGAUUUGCAAUGUAUUUAAAUUAGUUCUUAAAUUGCUCCCAAAGCUACUAAAAUUUCCCUUAUUAUAUUUUUCUGUAGAUACUGAUUGUUCUAAAUUAAACCCACUACUUAAAUUCCAUACAAAUGUGAGGCUCAAGGAAGCAACAAGUAGGAUGAAGGAGUUAGCGGGCAGAAGCAUAGAUCACAGAAAAACAAGAAUAUGUUUGCUCCCCAUGCUUUGCAUUGAUGUAUAGGUUCGGAAGUUUAAAAGCUUCAUGCGCUCCCCAUGCUUUGUAUUGAUGUAUAGGUACGGAAUUUAGAAGCUUCAUGCUUUGUAUCUCAGUAUGUUCACAGUGGCUUCAAUCUACAAUUUAAAAAGGUGAAUAUUGGCUGGAUAAUGACACAAGUGAUGCGGCUUCAGUCAUGUUUCUUAAGCUACCGUGGUUAUAUCAUCACUAGGCCAUAUAGUUUACCACUAACCUUCUUAAGUACUUCCACUUAACCAUCAUGAUUGCCGACUAAUUUGUGUGUUCAUGGUUAUAUUUCAGAGAACCGGUUCAGAUAAAUGCGAACACUGGUUGGGGGUUCUAAGAAGGAUGACCCAAAAUGGGAGCAUGACAGACACCAUGGUCCAGGAAAUAAGGGGGAAUCCCGUGGUGUCUACUAUGCUUUCAGAAAUCCUAUGCAGUCAGGGAGAUUCCUUCAGAUUUUUGCAUGAUGAGCAGGUAGCUGUAAAGGGUCGUGGUGUCUACUAUGCUUUUCAGAAAGGAUUUACUAUAUUUUUGCAGCAGGCUACAUGCUUCUCUGAAUGACCAUUUAAGGAGUGAACAUGAACUGCUGAUGUAUAUGUUCCAUGCUCCAUGGGGAGGGAACAAGGAUUGAUUUUCGCGGGGAGUAGGGAGAGUAUGGUGAGUUACUUCUAUAGUGCUAUGGUUCACAUACUGUAAGUUGGUGAUCUGUGAAAUAUCUUUGUUGUUGCUUUAAGGGGCUUCUAGAACUACUUGAUUGUGAAACAAGUCACUAGGUACUGCUCAGAUGAAUUAUAUGGAUGGUACCACCGUCCAACCUGUAGAAACUCCUAUCCCUAAAUUUCUAUUUAUUGGAACCAUUAGAUUUAUUAGUAUUUUAUAGUCAUUAUGUUUCUAUA
This is a long non-coding RNA of Triticum urartu, 4877 nucleotides long. RefSeq lists it as uncharacterized. NCBI's taxonomy places the organism in Eukaryota, Viridiplantae, Streptophyta, Magnoliopsida, Poales, Poaceae. The record is from RefSeq and is a predicted model, not a curated record.